GUAUUUACUUUGGUAGCACAUAUACUGAAAUUGAAAAGAUACAGAGAAGAUUAGCACAGCUCUUACAGAAGGAUGUCAGGAAAAUUCGUGAACUUUCUUAUAUUUUA
Molecule: small nuclear RNA, 107 nt
Organism: Sorex araneus (European shrew)
Lineage: Eukaryota; Metazoa; Chordata; Mammalia; Eulipotyphla; Soricidae
Source: RefSeq, a predicted model, not a curated record